Paramormyrops kingsleyae is the source of this 1707-nucleotide long non-coding RNA. RefSeq lists it as uncharacterized. NCBI's taxonomy places the organism in Eukaryota, Metazoa, Chordata, Actinopteri, Osteoglossiformes, Mormyridae. The record is from RefSeq and is a predicted model, not a curated record.
UAAUUACUUGUUUUGUUUAAUGUUUAAUGUUUUGGCUCAUUGGAGUACAUAUUAAAUACAUAUAAAGCUACUAAAAGAUGAUACACUGGGCUGCAAUCUGCGGAGUAAAAGUGAUGUCUUUUUGCAAAUUUGCUAAAAGUGUAACUGAUUUGAUUCAUGUGGUUCGAUAUUGAGAUUAACCCGGAGAUUCAGUAAAACAUUUGCAAGCUUGAAAUUAGUAUUUAGGAGGUAUAACAGUGCAACAGUUCAAGGUGUAAACGCUUCAGUAUACAGUAGUUUCCAUCAUGCAACCAUUCUGCUCUCCUUUUAAGUGGUGCCCAUGACGUGUAUCUCUGCAAGCUGCCCAAUACGCUGUCGUUGCAGUGUAAUGUUUACCAUAUAUAAAUAAUUGCAACAGGCAAAUGCUCGCUCACAGAAUACAUCAAAACUCUGCUGUGCUUCAAAGAAUUUCCACUUGACACCGGCAUCUCUCACAGCCCUGGUUCCUGCUGGUGGGACAGACCUCUGGUGAAGCCUUCUAUUAACGGCGGCUGUGUGGGGCGGAUAUGCUCAGAUGGUAACGUCGCUUCACUGUAGCAUGCGGUUCUUCUUAGAAGUCAAAAUCCUAUACAUUUAUAGCUUUUUCUGAAAAGCAGUUAAGAGGAAAAAAAGGCUGUGGUUUUUUGUUGCAUAAGUGCAAAUAAGUCUACCGUUUUUUUAAAGGGGAAUCUAGUAUCUGAUUAAGGUCGGGUUCUCAUGCUUGGUAGACAUUGACAGUUGAGUAAUUUUCCUAUUUUGACAUGGUUUGUAUAAUGAUAAAAGUUUUAAAGAGUCGGUAUCAUUCUGAAGGGAAGCUGAAUUUUGAAAAUCAGGUGUUUUUUGGGAACCAGAUUUAGGAAGCCAUGUGAUAACAGAAUGAUGUAAUGAAUAGCCUAUCAGGAAGGAACUGUGGCUUAAUCUCUCAGGACUGACAUUAGGCUCCACCAUGAGGCCUUACCCCAGAAGACAACAGCAGGAACCAGCUGCUUAUCCUGAGACAGUAGAAAGAGACAACUGCAAAAGUUUAUUUCAGAUUCAGAGCAGGGAUAUUUGUUUUUUAAGGACCAGAUUCAGAUCAAGACCAAAGUGGUGUAUGAAUUUGUUUGCAUUCUGCACAUUUAAUUGGAGGGGAAGGUAAACUCUGUGAGGAUGGGAAGAGCUCUCUCCUUUGUUAAGGUGCCUACAAGAUAUAAAUCCUUUUUUCCCCCGGAAGGCAGAGUUAGAAAAUGGCAGCGGAAGAUGCUCACUUUUGCGUCAACUGUUGGCCUGUGGGUGCCUGGUGUUUCAAGUUUUCAAUGAAUGGUGUGAGAUUGAAGAGGAACCAUCACGCAGUAACCACACACGGCCGCUUUGAUCACAUCAUCACAGACUAAGGGCAAUAUUUUCAUGACUUCCUGUGCAUUUCCACUUAAUCAGGAAGGCUAAAAUAAGAGACAGUAGCUUAUUUAAGUCCUACAGCUUCUUUGUAAAUCCCAUUUAUAAAAUUGCUAUUUUGAGAGUCAGAAUAAUUGCAAAUAUCAGACGCCCUUGUUUGGGAGCUAAUCUGCAGGACCAAUGACUUUUUCACUCUUAGUUUGUGUCUUCAUAACAUUUUCAUCUUGGCAGAUAUGCAUUUAACAUAUUUAGUGUGUAGUGUCUGUCCCAUGUGAAAAUAAUUGUUUAAGCCAAAUAAAAGAAACAGUGAUGAAG